This 326-nucleotide small RNA is filed under the name Pongo abelii (Sumatran orangutan). RNAcentral's name for it is "processed transcript". Lineage: Eukaryota; Metazoa; Chordata; Mammalia; Primates; Hominidae. The record is from RNAcentral.
GCAGAACCCAGCUGAAGAACUUGAGAGUUUCCAGGCUCAAGGUCACCCACCAUCUUUGUUUCCACCAAAGGCUAAAUCCAACCAGCCCAAAUCACUCGAAGAUUUAAUUUUUGAAUCUUUACCAGAGAAUGCAUCACACAAGUUAGAGUUCACAAGAUUCCUUUGCAGUUCACCCUUGGAGGCAGAGACUCCCCCUAAUGGGCCAGAUUGUGGCUAUGGCUCCUUUCACCAGCAGUACUGGCUUGAUGGAAAGAUCAUUGCUGUGGGGGUGAUUGACAUCCUCCCAAACUGUGUAUCAUCUGUGUAUUUGUACUACGAUCCUGAUU